GCUGGAGGCUGGCCCCACCUUCCCCUGAGCCCCAGCCACAGGGUACGGGAUAACAGAGGCCCGGCCCCGCCUGGGAGCA
This is a non-coding RNA of Ceratotherium simum simum (southern white rhinoceros), 79 nucleotides long. Lineage: Eukaryota; Metazoa; Chordata; Mammalia; Perissodactyla; Rhinocerotidae. The record is from RefSeq and is a predicted model, not a curated record.